Molecule: ribosomal RNA, 463 nt
Filed under: Thalassobius sp. 3T3,2 8
Lineage: Bacteria; Pseudomonadati; Pseudomonadota; Alphaproteobacteria; Rhodobacterales; Roseobacteraceae
Description: bacterial SSU rRNA
Rfam family: Bacterial small subunit ribosomal RNA
Source: RNAcentral
AGCCUGAUCAGCCAUGCCGCGUGAGUGAUGAAGGCCUUAGGGUCGUAAAGCUCUCGCCAGGGAUGAUAAUGACAGUACCUGGUAAAGAAACCCCGGCUAACUCCGUGCCAGCAGCCGCGGUAAUACGGAGGGGGUUAGCGUUGUUCGGAAUUACUGGGCGUAAAGCGCGCGUAGGCGGGUUGUUAAGUUAGAGGUGAAAUCCCGGGGCUCAACCCCGGAACUGCCUUUAAUACUGGCAACCUAGAGUUCGAGAGAGGUGAGUGGAAUUCCGAGUGUAGAGGUGAAAUUCGUAGAUAUUCGGAGGAACACCAGUGGCGAAGGCGGCUCACUGGCUCGAUACUGACGCUGAGGUGCGAAAGUGUGGGGAGCAAACAGGAUUAGAUACCCUGGUAGUCCACACCGUAAACGAUGAAUGCCGUCUCGGGUAGCAUGCUAUUCGGUGACACACCUAACGGAUAAGCAU